This is a long non-coding RNA of Malus domestica (apple), 902 nucleotides long. RefSeq lists it as uncharacterized. Lineage: Eukaryota; Viridiplantae; Streptophyta; Magnoliopsida; Rosales; Rosaceae. The record is from RefSeq and is a predicted model, not a curated record.
UUUUUGGGUUUUGCUUUGCUUUUUCAGUACAUGCUUUCCAUGUGUUGAUCAUCGGCAGUGUUUCUGUUGAGAGGAUUUUUCCCUUUUUGUUUCGUUUUCACUCCUCUCUUUGUUUACUUUUUCCUUUCAUUUUUCUGCUUCCUCUCUUUAGCCUCUUUUUUUUUCGUCUUCAGUUUUCUGUCUUCAUCUUCUCAUCCUUGGUCUAGCGCUUCGCACGCUGCCUUCUUGGCGUUUCAAGUCUUGCUGUUUUCUGGAAACAGUGUUGUUCGUUAUCCCAGCUGUUGUGUUGGCGUUUUCAUGCUGGUUGUGCUUCAGAUAUGUCUUUUUUCUUUCUCUUUUUGUUUCCGCUUAAUUUUCCUUAUUUUCUGGUCUGGGAUGAAUCUGGUGCUUAAAUUAGAGCAGAAAAAAUAGAGAAUAAUAAAUAAAGAAUCAAGGAGAAGGCUUUCUUGCGCUUAAUAUGUUUGUAAGAAAUUGAUUAGCAAAUUCAUUAACAACAGUAUGUUAAAUGUUACAGUAUUUAAAUAUUUAUUGGUGAGAAUUUUAUUAACUUAAUGAAAAGUUGCAAUACUUAAAUAUUCAUUCUGAGUAAAGAACUAACCAUCCCUGCAUUAUCCAUUUCUGUGCCUGCAUGCCUGCUAACUUUCCAGCUUGAAUUUGACGAUAUUGGAGAGUUAGAUCCAUCAGGGAACAUCUCUUGAUAGUAUUUAUACAAGGUUUUGCAUCCCAUGUCACCCAGCAUUCAUUAUUUUUUUGUAUGUAAAUGCUGGUUCCACUUGAGAGGUAGAUGCAAGUGUGAGAAUCCAAUCAAUCACUGUAAUAUUUUUUGUCUAUUUGUAAGGAAACAGGUUUUAAUCUUUUGUAUCUAGAUUGGAUUUGAUAUCAUUCAGGUUUCAUUCGUUCAA